AACGAACGCUGGCGGCAGGCCUAACACAUGCAAGUCGAACGAGAAGCCACCUUCGGGUGGUGGACAGUGGCAGACGGGUGAGUAACGCGUGGGAACGUGCCUUUCUGUACGGAACAGUCCCGGGAAACUGGGUUUAAUACCGUAUACGCCCUUCGGGGGAAAGAUUUAUCGCAGAGAGAUCGGCCCGCGUCUGAUUAGGUAGUUGGUGGGGUAAUGGCCUACCAAGCCGACGAUCAGUAGCUGGUUUGAGAGGAUGAUCAGCCACACUGGGACUGAGACACGGCCCAGACUCCUACGGGAGGCAG
Molecule: ribosomal RNA, 305 nt
Filed under: uncultured Pseudomonadota bacterium
Lineage: Bacteria; Pseudomonadati; Pseudomonadota
Description: bacterial SSU rRNA
Rfam family: Bacterial small subunit ribosomal RNA
Source: RNAcentral